Molecule: long non-coding RNA, 441 nt
Organism: Phodopus roborovskii (desert hamster)
Lineage: Eukaryota; Metazoa; Chordata; Mammalia; Rodentia; Cricetidae
Exons: 3
Source: RefSeq, a predicted model, not a curated record
ACCUGUCCUCUCUGGAGCGUUCCUGCAGUUCCCUGCCAGCCCAUUGGUGUGGCAAGAAGCAGGAAGGACCAGUGGUUCCAUGCUGCAUCAGUCACAGCAUCAUAGAAGCUGUGGUCCUGGCUGACCCAGAGCUCUUCACAGCUCUACUCAUAUGCUCCAGUCCCAGGCUUGGUGUGAUUGUCACAGCCCCAGGCUGACCCACUGCAACAUGGGCCCUCCUACCAGCAGAGCCGGAGAGAACCAAUGUCCUGCUGGAUAGCUGUUUGGUGGUGCAGGCUGAUGUGGACCAGUGCCAGCUAGGCAGAACAGAGCCACAGAUAGCAUCGCUCCAGGAUUUGCCAGAGGAGGAGGAGGAAGAGGAGGUAGAGGAAGAGGCCACCAGCUCUACAGGUAGGAGUGACAUUGUACAAGGAUCCCCUGGGGACUUUCAGGCUGGUGGCA